GCUGAGGGACUUCCGUAUCGAGCCCCGCCCCUUCCGUCUGCAUGAAGCCUGUCGUUUGGACACUCGCAGUCCAGGAGAAAUGUUAGUGCCUGGGCCCUAGAUACUUAUUGUAACAUGGCUCAGCCGGCCACCUAGUGGGCAGCAUCCUUCUCAUGGAGUGCACCAAACAGCGCUCAUUUACUAAACUCCUGUAUGGCUACUGAAGGGUGAAUGAUUAGCUACUAGAGAGAAUAAGGAUUCAAUGGAAUUCAGAUUCCUGUGUACAGAACACGCUAAAGGAAUUUACGCCAGUGGAUGUAAAGGACCAAAUGUUCGAGACUUGAGCGAAUGAGCAUCUCUGGCAUACUGAAGCUUGGGGAAGGAGAGGCUCACCCAGACGGUGCCUUUUCGUGGAGCAGUAAAGUAGGCCUUAAAACCAAGGUAACCAGCAUCGAUGUAAUGAAUUCCACAGAGUCCGUAACUAUAAAAGAAAGAGAUAAAAUAAACUGUACUUCUCCGAAGAGUAAGUUCUUUUCUUACAGAAUUCAAAAUAACCCAGAAUCCAACCCUCCUUUCUCCAGUUUGUGCCCCAACCCUUAGGGCCUGUCCCCAGAACUCAUAUCUUCAUCUUGCCGUACG
Cricetulus griseus (Chinese hamster) is the source of this 618-nucleotide non-coding RNA. NCBI's taxonomy places the organism in Eukaryota, Metazoa, Chordata, Mammalia, Rodentia, Cricetidae. The record is from RefSeq and is a predicted model, not a curated record.